GAGUUUGAUCAUGGCUCAGAUUGAACGCUGGCGGCAGGCCUAACACAUGCAAGUCGAACGGUAACAGGAAGAAGCUUGCUUCUUUGCUGACGAGUGGCGGACGGGUGAGUAAUGUCUGGGAAACUGCCUGAUGGAGGGGGAUAACUACUGGAAACGGUAGCCAAUACCGCAUAACGUCGCAAGACCAAAGAGGGGGACCUUCGGGCCUCUUGCCAUCGGAUGUGCCCAGAUGGGAUUAGCUAGUAGGUGGGGUAACGGCUCACCUAGGCGACGAUCCCUAGCUGGUCUGAGAGGAUGACCAGCCACACUGGAACUGAGACACGGUCCAGACUCCUACGGGAGGCAGCAGUGGGGAAUAUUGCACAAUGGGCGCAAGCCUGAUGCAGCCAUGCCGCGUGUAUGAAGAAGGCCUUCGGGUUGUAAAGUACUUUCAGCGGGGAGGAAGGGAGUAAAGUUAAUACCUUUGCUCAUUGACGUUACCCGCAGAAGAAGCACCGGCUAACUCCGUGCCAGCAGCCGCGGUAAUACGGAGGGUGCGAGCGUUAAUCGGAAUUACUGGGCGUAAAGCGCACGCAGGCGGUUUGUUAAGUCAGAUGUGAAAUCCCCGGGCUCAACCUGGGAACUGCAUCUGAUACUGGCAAGCUUGAGUCUCGUAGAGGGGGGUAGAAUUCCAGGUGUAGCGGUGAAAUGCGUAGAGAUCUGGAGGAAUACCGGUGGCGAAGGCGGCCCCCUGGACGAAGACUGACGCUCAGGUGCGAAAGCGUGGGGAGCAAACAGGAUUAGAUACCCUGGUAGUCCACGCCGUAAACGAUGUCGACUUGGAGGUUGUGCCCUUGAGGCGUGGCUUCCGGAGCUAACGCGUUAAGUCGACCGCCUGGGGAGUACGGCCGCAAGGUUAAAACUCAAAUGAAUUGGCGGGGGCCCGCACAAGCGGUGGAGCAUGUGGUUUAAUUCGAUGCAACGCGAAGAACCUUACCUGGUCUUGACAUCCACGGAAGUUUUCAGAGAUGAGAAUGUGCCUUCGGGAACCGUGAGACAGGUGCUGCAUGGCUGUCGUCAGCUCGUGUUGUGAAAUGUUGGGUUAAGUCCCGCAACGAGCGCAACCCUUAUCCUUUGUUGCCAGCGGUCCGGCCGGGAACUCAAAGGAGACUGCCAGUGAUAAACUGGAGGAAGGUGGGGAUGACGUCAAGUCAUCAUGGCCCUUACGACCAGGGCUACACACGUGCUACAAUGGCGCAUACAAAGAGAAGCGACCUCGCGAGAGCAAGCGGACCUCAUAAAGUGCGUCGUAGUCCGGAUUGGAGUCUGCAACUCGACUCCAUGAAGUCGGAAUCGCUAGUAAUCGUGGAUCAGAAUGCCACGGUGAAUACGUUCCCGGGCCUUGUACACACCGCCCGUCACACCAUGGGAGUGGGUUGCAAAAGAAGUAGGUAGCUUAACCUUCGGGAGGGCGCUUACCACUUUGUGACUCAUGACUGGGGUGAAGUCGAAACAAGGUA
RNAcentral lists this ribosomal RNA (1499 nucleotides) under metagenome. Its description in RNAcentral is "bacterial SSU rRNA". It matches the Rfam family "Bacterial small subunit ribosomal RNA". The record is from RNAcentral.